RNAcentral lists this ribosomal RNA (232 nucleotides) under Staphylococcus aureus. RNAcentral describes it as "partial 16S ribosomal RNA". It matches the Rfam family "Bacterial small subunit ribosomal RNA", at positions 316 to 535 of the family's 1533-position model. Lineage: Bacteria; Bacillati; Bacillota; Bacilli; Caryophanales; Staphylococcaceae. The record is from RNAcentral.
GCGCAGAGAUUCGGUCCAGACUCCUACGGGAGGCAGCAGUAGGGAAUCUUCCGCAAUGGGCGAAAGCCUGACGGAGCAACGCCGCGUGAGUGAUGAAGGUCUUCGGAUCGUAAAACUCUGUUAUUAGGGAAGAACAUAUGUGUAAGUAACUGUGCACAUCUUGAGAGAGACGGUACCUAAUCAGAAAGCCACGGCUAACUACGUGCCAGCAGCCGCGGUAACGUUGAGAAAC